RNAcentral lists this ribosomal RNA (492 nucleotides) under uncultured bacterium. Its description in RNAcentral is "partial 16S ribosomal RNA". It matches the Rfam family "Bacterial small subunit ribosomal RNA", at positions 29 to 507 of the family's 1533-position model. The record is from RNAcentral.
AGUGAACGCUGGCGGUAGGCCUAACACAUGCAAGUCGAACGGCAGCACAGUAAGAGCUUGCUCUUACGGGUGGCGAGUGGCGGACGGGUGAGGAAUACAUCGGAAUCUACUUUUUCGUGGGGGAUAACGUAGGGAAACUUACGCUAAUACCGCAUACGACCUACGGGUGAAAGCAGGGGAUCUUCGGACCUUGCGCGAUUGAAUGAGCCGAUGUCGGAUUAGCUAGUUGGCGGGGUAAAGGCCCACCAAGGCGACGAUCCGUAGCUGGUCUGAGAGGAUGAUCAGCCACACUGGAACUGAGACACGGUCCAGACUCCUACGGGAGGCAGCAGUGGGGAAUAUUGGACAAUGGGCGCAAGCCUGAUCCAGCCAUACCGCGUGGGUGAAGAAGGCCUUCGGGUUGUAAAGCCCUUUUGUUGGGAAAGAAAAGCAGCAGGUUAAUACCCCGCUGUUCCGACGGUACCCAAAGAAUAAGCACCGGCCAACUUCGUG